This 1938-nucleotide long non-coding RNA is filed under the name Homo sapiens (human). Its description in RNAcentral is "non-protein coding lnc-ZNF404-1:5". Lineage: Eukaryota; Metazoa; Chordata; Mammalia; Primates; Hominidae. The record is from RNAcentral.
AGAUGAAUGAACAGGGUUGUGUACGUGUGUGUGCGUUAGACAAAUGAACAGUGUUGUGUACCUGUGUGAAUUGUCACUGUGACUCCAGGCUCUAGGCUCUGCAGAUUCCUCAGCCCUAUCGCCUCACAGACACUUGGGAUGUGCAGCAGGUAAAAGAGAGAAGCCAGAUUCAUGGAGGCGUGAAGGAUCCCAGCAAGAAAACACAGACUUGAUCUUGAGACGAGAUUUUUGAAAUUGGUUGCGGCCUCAAGGCAGGCUCUGAGAAGACUCGAUAAAGAGUUCUCAGGAAUAGGCAUCCCUCCUGGAUAUUUCCCCCUUGGAAGCGCCGAGGAGCCAGCUCUAUGUUUGUAACCAUAGCAUUUCUAAAGCUCCAGCCCCAGGAACCUGCUGUGAAUUAGAGACAGAUUCCACCCUAGGCAUCACUGAUCUUGGCCUCUCUUGUAUUGGGAAGGUCAACACUGUUCCAGUUUCUCUCCUACUCCCAUCUGGUUGUGCUCGGUGAAGUAGGUGAGCAGUGCUACCCUUCUGUUAAAAAAAAAAAAAAAAAAAAGAUCCUGAAAGAGGAAAGAAUUUUUGCUACACAUCUGAAAGCUAAAGUCCAGUUGAACUCCAGAGGAGAACACAGCCCAGGUAACCCCUCGUUUGCAGCCUGUGAGACCAGCCUGAGGACAGCACCCAGCUAAACUCCAGGUCCAUGGAAACUGUGAGAUUUUAUAUAUUUAUGUUGUUUUAAGCUAAAUUCGUGGUAAUUGGUUAUGGUAGCAACUGAAAAUUAAUGCAGUAAGAAAGUCUAAGGAGAUCGGAAGAGACUAAAGAGAAAUAACAGCUAAAUGCAACGUAGAUUAAUGUGUGGGAUCCUGGAAAAGAAAAAGGACAUUAAUGGGAAAACAUAUUUGAAUAAGAUGUGCAAAUUUUUCGUAUUGUACCAAUGUUAAUUUCCUGGUUUUGAUAAUUAUCCUUUGGUUAUGUAAGAUAAACGCUAGAAUGAAGGGUAUAUGAGAACCCUCUGUACUACUCUUGCAACUUUUCUCUAAGUCUAAAAUAAGUGGAAAUUAAAAGUUAAAACAAAAAAAAAGGAAAAUUUUAUCUAUCCCAAGACCACAAAGUUAUUUUUCUGUUUCUUCCUCCAGAAUCUUUAUUGUUUGUUUUCACACUUAGACCUAUGAUCCAUCUUGAAUUUAUAUCUGUGUAUGUAGUGGGAUGAAGUUCAAAAUCAUUUUUUUCAUACAGAUAUCCAAGUGCACUGGCACCGUUUGUUAAAAACACUGGCCUUCUCUUAAGCUGCAGUCAGACUUUUACUGUAAAGCAUGGGCCCAUAUAUGUGCAGGAGUCUUUCUACUUUUCCGUUGGUCCUCUUUGUCAAUCUUUGUGCCAGCACCUCCAUUUUAAUUCCUGUAGCUUUAUAUUAUAUCUUGAUAAUCUGGUAAUAUAAGUUGAAGAACAACUUUGUUCUUCAAAAUCACUUUGUCUAUUCCAGGUUCUUUGCAUUGCUCUAUAAUUUUAGAAUGAGUUAAUUAAUUUUCUCAAAACAAACAAAACGCCCUGCUGACAUUUUGUUGGCAGUACAUUGAAUCAGUAGAUAAAUUUAGAGAGAAUUAUCUCAAAAUUGAGUCUUACAGUUCAUGAACAUGGAAUACAUUUCCAUUUAUUGAAUUCAUCUUUAAUUUCUUUCCUUAAGGUUUUGUUGUUUCCUGUCUAAAGGUCUUGCACAUCUGUUAAAUUUAUUCCUGUUUUACAUUUUUUAUGUUUUUACAAACUGUUAAGGUUUUAAAAAUUUUAUUUUUCAGUAGCUUUGCUUUAAUAUAAUUGUUUUAUACUUUUACCCUUUAUUCAGCAAUAAAUUAUUUAAUUUAAAGCUUGUGGAAUUAAAAAAUAUUUUUAUGUACAUAAUCAUGUAAUCUACACUAUCUGCAAAUAAAGAUCAUUUUACUUCCUUCC